AAAGCCCAAAAGAGAAAGCUCAAAGAGGACAAUAUUUGCUAGCGAUGGUGGGCUAUUACACAAUACGUGAGGGAGCAGAUUAAGAGUAAAGGUUUCAAGAC
This is a long non-coding RNA of Cucurbita maxima (winter squash), 101 nucleotides long. RefSeq lists it as uncharacterized. The transcript has 2 exons. Lineage: Eukaryota; Viridiplantae; Streptophyta; Magnoliopsida; Cucurbitales; Cucurbitaceae. The record is from RefSeq and is a predicted model, not a curated record.